CUAUCAGCGGCAAGGUUAAGUCGUAAGACGAAGCCGUAGCGAAAGCGAGUCCGAAAUGGGCGUACAGUCGCUGGGAGUAGACCCGAAAACCCGGUGAUCUACCCAUGUCCAGGAUGAAACGAGGGUAAAACCUCGUGGAGGUCCGAACUCACUACAGUUGAAAAUGUAGGGGAUGAGGUGUGGGUCGGAGUGAAAGGCUAAUCAAAACCGGGAGAUAGCUGGUUCUCGCCGAAAGAUAUUUAGGUAUCGCCUCGGAAAACUCUGUCGAGGAGGUAGAGCACUGGAUGGGCUAGGGGUCUUACCAGAUUACCAAACCCAACCAAACUCCUAAUGCCUCGACAUUUACUCCGGGAGUCAGGCUGUGGGAGCUAAGUUCCAUGGCCAAAAGGGAAAGAGCCCAGACCGCCAGCUAAGGUCCCUAAGUCGUUGCUAAGUGGUAAAGGAUGUGGAAGCACACAGACAACCAGUAGGUUGGCUUAGAAGCAGCCAUCCUUUAAAGAAAGCGUAAUAGCUCACUGGUCAAGUGAGUCCGCGCCGAAAAUUUAACGGG
This 550-nucleotide ribosomal RNA is filed under the name uncultured bacterium. RNAcentral's name for it is "bacterial LSU rRNA". It matches the Rfam family "Bacterial large subunit ribosomal RNA", at positions 631 to 1179 of the family's 2925-position model. The record is from RNAcentral.